RNAcentral lists this microRNA precursor (126 nucleotides) under Sorghum bicolor (sorghum). RNAcentral's name for it is "miR164 stem-loop (sbi-MIR164a)". Its record names the gene sbi-MIR164a. It matches the Rfam family "MIR164 microRNA precursor family". Lineage: Eukaryota; Viridiplantae; Streptophyta; Magnoliopsida; Poales; Poaceae. The record is from miRBase by way of RNAcentral.
UGGAGAAGCAGGGCACGUGCAUUACCAUCCAAUGCCGCCAAGCUCGAUCCUCCUCUGAGCUUGCUAGCUCCAUCAGCUCGCCAGCCAUGGCUGGAUGGAUGGUUCUUCAUGUGCCCAUCUUCUCCA